Molecule: ribosomal RNA, 384 nt
Filed under: uncultured eukaryote
Lineage: Eukaryota
Description: SSU rRNA
Rfam family: Eukaryotic small subunit ribosomal RNA
Source: RNAcentral
AGCUCUAAUAGCGUAUACUAAGGUUGUUGUGGUUAAAAAGCUCGUAGUUGGAUCUCAGUUCGAGUCAGACGGUCCACUUGCCAGUGGCUACUGUCUGGCUGAACACUUUAUCGACUUGUCCUACGGUAUUCUUAAUCGAGUGUCGUAGGCGAUCGAUACGUUUACUUUGAAAAAAUUAGAGUGCUCAAAGCAGGCUUUAAAAGCCCGAAUAAUGUUGCAUGGAAUAAUGGAAUAGGACCUCGGUUCUAUUUUGUUGGUCUUCGGAAUCCCGAGGUAAUGAUUAAGAGGGACAGACGGGGGCAUUUGUAUUGCGACGCUAGAGGUGAAAUUCUUGGACCGUUGCAAGACAAACCAAAGCGAAGGCAUUUGCCAAGAAUGUUUUCA